Molecule: small RNA, 618 nt
Filed under: Pan troglodytes (chimpanzee)
Lineage: Eukaryota; Metazoa; Chordata; Mammalia; Primates; Hominidae
Description: retained intron
Source: RNAcentral
GCCAACCAGGGCCAUUCCCUGCAGGUACCUAAGUUGGAGCUGAUGCCCCUGGAGACACCGCAGGCCCUGCCCCUGAUGCUAGUCCAUGGUCCCCUUCAAAGGUUACAACACUUGUCUGGGGCCACCCCAUGUCCGGCAUGGAGCAGCACCCCUGCAUCCCCCAGCCCAGGACCCCAGUCUGCCCAGGUUGCUGACUGCACUCCAGGUGCCCAGGCCUCAGCUCCAGCUGUCUCUGCAGGCAUGCGGUCCCAUUGUGAAAUAGCUGUGUUCAUCGAUGGACCCCUGGCUCUGGCAGGUGAGUCUGGACAAAGCAGGAGCUGCCCUUGCCUUCGGGGAGGGCAUGAGUCACAUCUCUGGCUCUGUCAGCAGAUGGAAUACCCUUCUUCCGCUCUGCCAAUGGGGUGAUUCUGACUCCAGGGAAUACUGAUGGCUUCCUCCUUCCCAAGUACUUCAAGGAGGCCCUGCAGCUACGCCCUACCCGAAAGCCCCUUUCCUUGGCUGGUGAUGAAGAGACAGAGUGUCAGAGUAGCCCCAAGCACAGCUCCAGAGAAAGGAGAAGGAUCCAACAAUAAAAUAUUAAUUUAUAAAAAAGAAAUUUUAAAAAGUAACAAGAAAGAA